This 1016-nucleotide transfer RNA is filed under the name Marmota monax (woodchuck). The record is from RNAcentral. Lineage: Eukaryota; Metazoa; Chordata; Mammalia; Rodentia; Sciuridae.
GCUGACCUUAGUGGCUGAUUUCUUUUCUUUUCUUCUCUCUCUCUCUCUUUCAGAUGAGGAAAUUUUGAUUUGCAGCUCAUAGUCCAUUGUUGGCUGACUUCAUUGCUCUGGGCUGGAAGUGAGGCAGAUCAUGAUGGAAGUUGUGAAGGAGGAAAUCAGCUCAGGAUAUGGAAACAAGGAAGCAGGGAGCCUUCAUGCUGAUAUCCAAUGGACAGGAUGCAGCAGAAGUGACACGGCAUGACUUCUGAGACUAAUUAAAAUUUUAAAAAAAGGAUAGAGCUGCAACCUGGUACUCCCACUCCACUCACCCUUGGAACUUAGCCACCAUGUUGUGAGGAAGCCCAAGACAUAUAUAGGUGCCUUGGCUAAAGUCCCAGAUAAGGUCCCAAUCAAUAACCAACAUCCACUACCAAACACGUAAAUGGGCAAGUCUUCAGAUGACUCUAGCCCCAGGAUUUGAGCCACCUCAGCUGAUAUCAAGCAAAGCAGAGAUGAGCUACCUGCCUGGAGCCCUGCCCAAAACACAGACUGAGGAAAAGAAAUAUUGCUAUCUUAGGGAAUUAUGUUUUGGGGUGGUUUGUGACAUAGAAAUAGAAAACUGGCACACUUGACUUCAAGGGUUCUCACCAGGUGGGUUAAGGGCAGUAGUCCUGUAUCACAUGUGAGAUCUUCUCAAGGGUUCACACUUAAUUCCAAUGUCCCCCCACCCUGUCUUGCUAGAUUCUUACACCACUUUAGGGUAUGAAUUGGGUAGGCUGGGGAGAAAUAUAACAGCAACAACAGUGGAGUUGCAACAGAAAUUUUGUAGAAGAUUAAAAAAUGCCCUCUCCAUAAUUGAGGUCCACUAGAUCUGCUCAGUCUAAUACAGUGGCCAUCAGACAUAUGUGGUUCUUUUUAUUUAUUUAUUUUUUAGUUUUCAGUGGACACAACAUCUUUGUUUGUAUGUGGUGCUGAGGAUCGAACUCAGGCCACACGCAUGCCAGGCGAGCGCGCUACCGCUUGAGCCACAUCCCAGC